CUACGGGGGGCUCCAGUGGGGAAUAUUGCACAAUGGAGGAAACUCUGAUGCAGCAACGCCGCGUGGAGGAUGACACUUUUCGGAGCGUAAACUCCUUUUAUAUAGGAAGAAGAUGACGGUACUAUAUGAAUAAGCGCCGGCUAACUCCGUGCCAGCAGCCGCGGUAAUACGGAGGGCGCAAGCGUUACUCGGAAUCACUGGGCGUAAAGAGCGUGUAGGCGGAUUAAAAAGUCAGAAGUGAAAUCCUAUAGCUUAACUAUAGAACUGCUUCUGAAACUCUUCAUCUAGAGUAUGGGAGAGGUAGAUGGAAUUUCUGGUGUAGGGGUAAAAUCCGUAGAGAUCAGAAGGAAUACCGAUUGCGAAGGCGAUCUACUAGAACAUUAUUGACGCUGAGACGCGAAAGCGUGGGGAGCAAACAGGAUUAGAUACCCGGGUAGUC
This 439-nucleotide ribosomal RNA is filed under the name uncultured bacterium. Its description in RNAcentral is "partial 16S ribosomal RNA". It matches the Rfam family "Bacterial small subunit ribosomal RNA", at positions 339 to 795 of the family's 1533-position model. The record is from RNAcentral.